Molecule: long non-coding RNA, 1440 nt
Filed under: Homo sapiens (human)
Lineage: Eukaryota; Metazoa; Chordata; Mammalia; Primates; Hominidae
Description: non-protein coding LINC00205:22
Source: RNAcentral
AUUGCAGACCCGGAGGCCGUGGCUGUGGUUCGCGGCGGUGCUGUCGCGGGCGCCCUGGCGCAGCCCACGCAGGGGCUCCUGAGGGGAGACAUAAGACAUCAGUCAGUACAUGUGAGGUGUGCAUUGGAUUGAUCCAGAAAGUCAGGACGACUCCAAGUGGAAAGGCCUCCAGAGACAGGAGACAGUAAAAGAAAUGGCCUCUCUCCUCUGUCAGAGUGGAGUCCCGAGCUCCCAGAAAUGCCACAUGAUGGACAAACGCUUGGGGGAAAAAAAAAAAAAAGGAGACCUCAGUCGGACACAAAAGCAGGAGCUUUAAAAGAAAAAAUAAGAGAUAAGUUGAACUUCACCAAAAAAUAAGCGUUUCUGGUCUUUGAAAGACACUUAAAAUGAAAAGGCAAGCCAUCGAUGGGGAAAAUACUCAGAAUAAUGGAUCUGACAGAGGGCUGUAUCUAGAAUAUAUGAAGAUAUUUUAAAAUCCAGUAAUUUGACAUAAAGAUGGUAGCCAGCCUGACACACAAAGGAACCCGAAUGGCCAAUGGACAGGAAGGGAACCCGUAUGGCCGAUGGACAGAAAGGGAAGUGAACGUGAACAUCUCAUUGGGGAUGCCGUUAUCACCACUGGAAUAGUCAAAAACAUGGACACCAAGUAUUGGUGGGUGAGUGGAAUGGCGGGAACCCACAUACACGGUCGAUGGGAGCUGCACCCUUUGGAAAUCAUUUCACAGUUUGUGCUCCAUCCUGGCCAAACCCACAGCUGGAGUCUUUCCAAAAACAGUGACGGGAGUUUCCACCAGGGAGUGCCUCAAACCAUCCCGAGAUGGGGCUGGUUGGGAUUCCAGGGAGAGGCACUCGUUGCCAGGGUGAUCCGUCCAGAGCACUUCCUAGGGGAUCUGGCAUAAGGAGGGCUGCAGUGUAUCCUCAGGACAGAUAGGACAGAUAGUGUAUCUUUGGGACAGACGGCAAGAUGGGGAUUCCACCCAGGUCUGUCUGCAGCGAGUUGAUAUGAGAGUUUAAGGAAUUUGGACCAGGGCUGCUUUGUUUCAGGGUUUUGGGCAAUGACCUAAACACCUUUAUCAGUGCCUGGGAAUGCUCAAGGCCCAGCUUGAGUUCAGGCCUGCAGGGAAAACCUGCAACUGGCCGGGCUGCAGAGUGGUCAGGGCACGGAAAGCCAGAAGCUGGGGACACACCUGCUGUAUGAUCCAGCCGUUCGUCUUUACCUGGGAGAAAUGGCACCACCUGGCUGAACAUAACUUCUUACACUCCCAUGAGUCCUCCUGGACAGGUGCUGUGACCUCGUGCAGCCUUGGGGACCCUGACACUCCCACGGACAGGCCAAGGGGUUUGCCUGGGCCCUGUGGGCACAGAGCCCCUUGAGAUGGGUUUCCCUAUGCAGCCCCCCACCCCCCACCGGGGACCCAUGGCACUGCAGCCCUCACCCCC